AUCGAAUAAUAAUCCAGUCACACAAGUAUUCAUAUUCAUCCAAGACAACCAACAUCACAUAAGACUUAUACAAUCACUCAAGGCUACAAUUUUACCACAUAAUAUCCAUAUAUAAUAAUUCUAGUAUAUAAAAUAUGCUUUUUCUGAAAAGGCCCCUACCUCAAUAUGCAAAAUUAUAGCCCAAACACCUCACAGAGUUUUUUUCGUCUCGACCCAAAAUCAACGGCAGCUUCAAAGCACAGCCCCACACAUUUUCGCAGCAGCAUAAACAGCUCUAAUUAACACAAUUAGG
Arachis ipaensis is the source of this 292-nucleotide non-coding RNA. Lineage: Eukaryota; Viridiplantae; Streptophyta; Magnoliopsida; Fabales; Fabaceae. The record is from RefSeq and is a predicted model, not a curated record.